This 30375-nucleotide long non-coding RNA is filed under the name Musa acuminata (dwarf banana). RNAcentral's name for it is "long non-coding RNA (MACU_LNC006303)". Lineage: Eukaryota; Viridiplantae; Streptophyta; Magnoliopsida; Zingiberales; Musaceae. The record is from RNAcentral.
UUUGCCGUCCGGUGCUUCUUACAUAUAGCUUGGAGAAGAGGUUGAGACCUCGAUAUGAAGUUCUGAAUUUUCUUGAUCAGAAUAAAUUGCUGGAUAAAGGACAUGACCUGCUAUCUGUCAUCCUGCUAUCUGAAGAGAAGUUCAGAAACAAAUUCCUUUUCGUGCUAUGCAAGGAGAAAUUUAUUGCUCAAUAUGAUUCCUAUGUUGCUGCUGUGCGUGGAAAGCACCACGUUGUUGUGGAAAACUAGGAUUGCAAGUGCUUCCUCGAGACAAAAGUGUAAACCUAAUGCAUGCUGACCGAAACUUAAUCAUUUUACAUUUGUGACAAUUUAAAUUCUCCAAGAGUUUAUUAGAGUAGAACUUCCAUGUUGAUUUUUGGGAUUUUUCCUCUAUUUAUCUUUUUCUACAACCAAAGAAUGCUGAUUCAUAUAUGCUGAUGUCCCAGAAAGUGGAGUUUGGGGGAAGUCAAUUACUUAGGAAAGGUAACAAAAAUAUCAAGCUUUUGUGUUAUGUUUUUACCGUAUCUAGCCAAUUCACAUACUUAUUAUUGAAUUUGAGUUAUGUUGUUGGUUGCAUGGUAUGUAAUUUCAAAUGAUAUUGUUUGUAUCGAGCGGUACCUAUCGGUCUGACAAUAUAUCGAUAUGUGGACCGUUUGCUAUCGAACGAAUCAUGCUUCAGUGCUACAGUAAUAUACUUUAGUAGUUCUAUAGUAAGAGGAAAUCGUGCAGUAAACCUUGGUGUACCAUACGAUACAUGAUACGUCUGUGUUGUAUUGUACCGAGCAAACCUUGAAACAUUGAUAUAUGAUAUGAUAUUGCAUAUCUUGGUUGAUUGUAUCUAAUUUUUUAUAGUAACAUUUUAAUUGUAUUAAGAGAUCAAUUAGAUCACAUAUAUAUCUCCUAUUAAGUAAGCUAUUUUAUUCUUGUGAAAUUAACGAAAAAAUAAGACAGAUUUUAUAAUUUAAAUGAUAAAAAGAUCAGAAGAUUUUCUAGAGAUGUUUCUAUCUAUAGAAUUCAAUGUAUAAACUAUUUAAAAAAUAUUUUGAAUAUAAAUAGUUAUUAUAUAUUUUUAUUACAAAUAAUAUUGUGAAAGAUUGCUUAUAUUUGCAACAUUGGAAUGUGUGUGAUAAUAUCAUUUUCAAUGUUGAUGAUGAAUAGUAGCAACCUUUGUAUGGAUGAUAGUUAUGGAUCAAGAUUUGAACAUAAGAGAAUAGAUCCUAGAUGAAAGUAGAUUAACCAUGCCCAUUUAAUUAGUUAAAUCUAUUGAUGAUUAGAUAAAGCCGAUGAAAUAGAAGGAUAAAAAUUUUAUUUAUAAAUAAGGAUUAAAUAUUUAUAAAUUUAACAUAAUUUUACAUCAAAUAUUUUAUUAUAUCAUUAUAUAUUUGUACUUUUUAUAGUUAUACAUCCAUGGUCUUCAAAAUUUUAAAAAAAUUAUAAAAAAUUUUAUAUUAUAAAUUUUUUUUAAAUGAAAUAAUAAAAAAUUAUGAUUUUUAUUCAAAAUUUUGAAUUGACAAUUUUUGAAAUGGAUGAUUCUGAAAUGGUGAAUAAGUCUUAAAUAUAACUUAUAUUUAAAUCAUCAAAUCUUAUAUUUGCUGGUUUAGUUUGUGAAUUGAAGGACAAUUUACUUGUAACAGUAGAAAGAGGUUUGAAUGCUUUAAGUUUGACAACAUAUGUUUUUUACAUAGAGCAUAAAUAGUUCGGAUAUUACGGCUUUUUGUUAUUAGUGUGAUUGUUAGCACUUGUUGGCUUUAUUGGCAAAUUCUCACUGAUUUAGAUUAUGGCUUUAUUGAGAAAGUUCUUUACUACAGCUGAAGCUAUUGAUGUCACCGGCCGCCCGAUAAGUGGGCCGGGGAUGCGAGUUCAACCCGGUGCGGCCCGCCUGAUUCGGGUUGUGUCGAGCCCGAGUCAAGUCAAUUUGGAUCUCUGGUUCGAUUGAACCAGAUGAGAACGGCAUUCUCAAAAUUCCCACCCGUGCCCUAACUGCAGCGGUGAAAGUGUCUCCUCCUAUAUAGCGACCGCGAAUGCGGCGUUUUACUUGGCGAAAGGCGGCUGAAGCGGCGGCAUCUUCCUCCGUCGGGCUUUUAUCGCUGCGGCGUUUUCCUCGGCGAACGGUGGAUGCUGCGGCUUCCUCUCCGUCAGCGAACGGUACAACGCCCGGUAUCUCUCUCUUACUCCUCCUCCUCCUCCUUCGCCGUCACACAAUCCCUUCUCCUCCCUCUUCCCCCUUUCGUCGCAGCUCUCCCGAUUCCCCGACACCAUCCUCCUCCUCCCUCUUUCACCCGUUCAUCGCAGCCCCCCGCCCCUCUUCCCCGAUCCAUCCCCCUCCUCCACUUCAUCACAGUCCCCGCCCCCCGUUUUCCUACUCCGAUCCCAACGGUCCCCUCUCAGUUUUCCUACUCCGGACCCGACAGCUCCCUCUCCAUUAUCUUGCUCCGGACCCGACAGCCCCCGUCUCCCUCCUCUACACCCCUCUUCGCCCUCUCUAUACAUCUUCCCGUCCCCUUUCCUUCUCCCUGAUAGUUACCCGCUACCCUCCCAACAAGUAGUCAGCAGCAUGUUUUGAGCAUUUACUUUAAAGAAAUAGCAAGUCACAGUAUGCAAGUUAAAUACUGUUGUUAAGAUAGAAAGCAGGAGAAGUGCUGCUUUUAUAAAGAGCAAAGAGAAUUGGGGAGUCUUAGAGAAAAAUAAAAAAACACGGAAAAGAUAGAACAAGAGAUAGCAGAGACAAUAAUUGGGUCACUGUCCAAAGAAAAUCAUAAUUAUUUGUCAAUAGAAUCAUGCACAAGUCGGACUAUUCCUCAUGUGAAGCAUUUUAAUUAAAAAUAUACCUAAGAUAAUACUAAUUUGACUAGGUUUCGCGAAAGAAGCUCCCUCAACAGCAACUGCUUAUUUUGAUGAAGUGUUUGGUUCAUCAAACCUCUUAGUUUUCUUAUUAUGUAUACUGCAUUGCAGUUUCCUUUUCAAGCACAUCAGAAAAUUUCAACACAAAACCCCAAAUGUUACAAAGGACUCGAUCAAUCUAAACUACAAGUUGAGUAAACAAAUAGAAUUUGACUUGAUUUCCAAACCCGAAAAUAGACCCAAAAUCUCAAAUGUAUUUGGUUAGGUAUAACCUUACACCUUUAUGUCAGCAUAGUGUGUUCUCUGCUGUAGUGCUGAAAGCAACUAUCUCAGCUACUUGAGGCUUGUUCGUACCUCAAAACACACAGGCCUGCUUAUAUUUGAAUUGUCAAAUCUUGUAUUUGCUGGUUUAGUUGGUGAUUUGAAGGGGCCUUUUCCAGUAACAACAGAAAGAGAUUUGAAUGCUCUUACUUUAACUACAGAUAUUUUCUUAUACAUAGUUCGAUGAUGCAGAAGAUCCAUAUGGCUGAUCAUGAAUAGUUUGGACAUCAUGGCUUUUGUUAUUAUUGUGGUUGUUUGCACUUGCUGGUUUUAUUGGCAAAUUCUCACUGAUCUAGGCUUUUUUUUUCUUCAUUAAUGAUAUUUAGCUGACGCCACAUAUAAUUUUUUUAACUGUAGUUGAAGUUAUUUACAUGACCAAUCUUUCUCAUAAAUUAAGUUCCUUUAUCAGCAUAGAACCAAAUAAACUAGUAGCAUUUCUUGAUUGAGGCAGUUUUCUUAUCUCUUUAUUCAUUUUUCAGAAAAUUUAUUGCCUUUCUCUGGUCUUCCAGCUAUGUUUUUUUUUUUUUUUUGUCAAGUUGCUCAUCAUCAUCAACAAUGCCCUUUUUAGCAUGUUGAACCUUACAAAUUACCCUUGUUAAAUAAUUAAACAGUGUCUUUUCUGCUUACCAGUCUUGCUAGACUUUUAACUAGAUCAUCUCUUUACAUUCUUGAUGAAAUGGAUCAAUUACUCUGGUAGUUCUCAUUUGAAAUGUUUCAGGUUUUAGUUGUAGGACAUUAGUGAAUCUGAUGUUAGAGAAAACAUUAUGCAUCUUCCACUUAUUCUGAAUUCUGUAGUACCAUUAGCAAGUCAUUGAUGUUCAACCUAUAAGUAUAAACUUGAGUAUCGUCUGUAUACGAUCGACAAUGUAAAUGCCUAUGCCACUCUUAUGCAGCAUAUUUGAUGAAGAUACAUUUGAUAUGGUUUUUAAAUUGCUACAGGAAUAUAGGAUGCUUGGUAGUGUCUAAACCCACCAACUACAAUAUAAAAAUAAGUGGAAGAUAGUGUCUGUGCUCUGGUGUUAUAUGAUGCCAGUAUUUUAGUGGUGGAGAAUUGCUCUGAUGUGAGCAUUUGAAUGAGUAACGAAUUAUAGGUACUCGUUAUCAACUCUCAAACACCAUUUAGAGACUUAUCUCUGGAAGAAUUGGCUGAUUGGAAUUGAAUGCAUGUGGAUUAACACAAGUGGUAUAGGAAUGCUGUCUGAGACAAAUGAUUAGUUGAAAGUUUUCAAUAUCCUUGAUUGGAGGCAGAAGUUGAAUUUGGACUUGGAGAGGGCAGAAAUAAGACUACUUUUCUUGUAUUUUUCUGCAAACAGUAGGUGAUACUGCCUCAAAAGACAAUGUUUUUCGUGCACAAGAGGCUCUUUUGCCUUCUCUCAUGUAACAAGUCCACCGUCCAUGUUUCUUCCUAUCAACUCUGCAGUCUGUUUAGCUUUUCCACUGCCGAAGAGCACAGUUCAAAUCAUGGAUCCAACUUUACGUUGGUCGACCCCCUUGAGUCAUGUGAACUUUCCUCAAAAGAGGCUGCAAAAAGGGCCAAGGAUCGCAUCUGUGAAAAAGAACUUUCAAGUUCAAGUCCUUCCAUUGAGUUCUUCAAGCAGAGCGGUUGGAGUGAUCCACUAGUCAUGAAGCUUUUGCAGAGGGAACCCAGGCUUCUACGUGCUAACGUAGAGACUAUCCUGAAGCCCAGGAUGAGAUCUUUGCAGGACAUGGGAUUUUCUGACACUGAAAUAGUUCAGCUGGUUUCAUCAUGUCCGUGUCUGCUCUAUUUACGUGAUAUCCAACCGAGGAUCGACUUCUGGAGGUCACUACUUGGUUCUAAUGAGAGAUUAAUUAAAGCCAGCAGGGGGAACAUGUUUCUCCUUACUUCUAGCGUGGCUCGAAAGGUUGAGCCCAAUAUAUCUCUCUUGAGGGAAUGUGGCAUCAGUGAGCAAUGCAUCACGCAGAUGGUGGUGGCAGUACCGAGUUUUUUUUGUCGAACGAACAAAUGUAUCGACGAAUCUAUCAAACAUGUUGAGGAGUUGGGUGUGUCACGUGACUGUAAAAUGUUCCCUGAUGCACUUUUAAAUGUCAUGACCCUGAGCUGGUCUAGGUUUCAUGCUACUUUUGCUACCCUGAUGAGCUUUGGGUGGUCCCAACCAGACAGUCUUGCUGCAUUCAGGAGGUAUCCAGUCAUUUGGAAUUACUCAAAGAAGAACUUAUGUGACAAGAUGACAUUCCUGAUGAAGGAAGCUGGUUGUGAGCUGACAUAUAUCGUUGGUCAUCCCGUGCUUCUUACAUAUAGCUUGGAGAAGAGGUUGAGACCUCGAUAUGAAGUUAUGAAUUUUCUUUAUCAGAAUAAAUUGCUGGAUAAAGGACAUGACCUGCUAUCUGUCAUCCUGCUCUCUGAAGAGAAGUUCAGAAACAAAUUCCUUUUCCUGCUACGCAACGAGAAAUUUAUUGCUCAAUAUGAUUCCUAUGUUGUUGCUGUGCAGGGAAAGCAUGACGUUAUUGCGGAAAACUAGGAUUGCAAGUGCUUCCUUAAGACAAAGUAUAACCUAUUGCAUGCUGACUGCAAAUUAAACACUUUAUAUUUGUGACAAUUUAAAUUCUGCAAGAGUUUCUUGGAGUAUUAACUUCCAUGUUGAUUUGGUGAUUGUUCUAUUUAUGUUUUCUACAACAAAAGGUACUCGUUCUUUUAUGCUGAUGUCUCAGAAAUUGGUGUGGGGGAAAGUCAAUUACUUAAGAAAGGUAACCAAAAUAUCAAGCUUCUGUGUUCUGUUUCUAUCAUAUUUACCUGAUUCUGGCAGCCAUAUUGAUUACCGUGCUGUCAUUUAGAUGAUUGUGAUCUAAUUUAAUAAAGAUACCUUCCUUUUGAAUGGGGACAUCUCAAAGAAUUAUGUAAGAGCCGCUUGGACGGAAAAUACUUUAAAGGCAACCGCAGAUGUGGAAAUGACUAUAACAUUUUUGUUGUAGUCAUCCACAGUCGCUCAUUAAAUAAUUAAGUCCAGUUUAACUGUUUAAUCGAACGCAUUAAACAGCCGAUCUAUAUUAAGUUUGAUACACAUCUGUAUUGUUAUAUAAUUAGAUUGUGUGUUUUACUUUGCUUGUGCGAUCUAAUAGACCCAACGUGGCUCCCGUGUUUUGUUUUAUUUAACUAUUAACGCCCAUGCAUUUUGGAUCAUUUAUGUUUAUGUUUGAAUUCAUACCCAGAAUGAUUAUUGAAUUUGAGCUUCAUUGGGUGCAUAUCUAUUUUUUUGAUAAUAAUAGUUGAAUUAUAUUAAGAGAACAAUUACGAGGUAGUUAAUAAAAUGAACACAUCUAUGGCAUAUAUCUACAGUAAGUUAUGAAGCUUCUUUUUUUUUUAUUGUAAUGUUGUAUUAUCAUUUUAGUGUCUGAAAUAUAAGAAACAGUAUUAUUAUUUUUUAUAAUAUGUUUAGUUGACAAAAUUUUAAUUUAACUAAAGAUUCUAAGAGGAAAGAUUCAAAAGAUUGGAUAGAGAAGAUUAUUGGAUGGUUGUUGAGCGACUACGGAUUAUAAGCUGAAAAGUUAAGAUUAUUUUCAGAAGUUCCGAAAGAAUUUAAAAGAUAUCUGUUGCUAUUCUUUAUAAGAAUAUAUAAACAUCGACUACUAAGAAUUCAAGAUAAUAGUAUAUGUAAUUUUUGCUUCGAUUAUGUUAUGAAACUUCAUUUUUUUCUUAUAAUGUUGUUUUAUCAUUUUGGUGUCUUCAACAUAAGCAAUAGUAUCAUUAUUUUUUUAGUGAUAUGUUUAGUUACUAAAAUUUUAACUUUAUAAAAAAUUCUAAGAGGAAAGACUCAAAAAAGUGAACAAAAUAUAUUGUUGGAUGGUUGUGGGGGAACUAUUGAUUAUAAAUCAGUAAUGAUGUUAUGAUGUUGAAGAGUGUAAACUUCUUUUUAAAAAUUCUGAAAAGACAUAAAAGAUAUGUAUUUGUAAGAUUUUGGAUUAUAAAAAAAUACAAAUGGAAUUUAUAUUUUUCAGCAAUAGUUUUUGAACCAAACAACUUUGAAUAAUUAUCUUAUUGAAUUGUUUCUCAGCACUUACGUAUUUUUUAUCAUGGGAAGGAUCUAUUAAGUUGCAGCAUCAUCAGGCCUCAACAAAAAUCAUCUAUAUUUCUGUAAGGUCGAUAAAGUCAUCAUAUAAGUAAGAUACUUGAAACUGAUUAUGACAGACUACUUCUAUUGGGAUGCAUAUGUAAAUUAUGACAGACUACUCCAAAAUAGACCCAAAAUCUCAAUGUAUUUAGUUAAGUAUAACUAGUCCUAACUAAAUCACAACUGAUUUAUUGUGACGGGUUUGAAUCACAACUGAAUCAAUGCAUUUAGUUAGGUAUAAAUAUGACCGGUUUGAAUUGAAUCAAACAGGUUCGUUGAUUGCAAAUCAAAUCGUAAUCUACCAGGGGUAAUUUAAUUGAGGUUUCUAGGUUUGAAAAAUUAGAAUCAAUGAUCCCAUAAUUGAUUAUUCCGCUUCCUAUUUAAACCAUCUAUUUGAUGGUGUUCUAUAUAGAUAAAAACCUCGAUCAGAUAGGUUCUCGAUGGAUAAUUGGGCUUAAACAAUUGGGCCCAAUAGUUGGACCAACAAUCGAAUGAAUGUCAAAUUGGUUAUAUUUAGGGAUACUUUAGUUAUUUUAUAAUUAAAAAUAUUAAAAAUUAGAAAAUAAAUUAGUCCUUCCAAUAAGCAAAUAAUAGCUAGUUAUGAAGAUAUUUUAGGAAAAAAAAUUUAAAAAUCCUAUAGAUACCCCAAAAAUCUUUUAUUUUUUUCCAGAUUACUUGUUGAAGGUUGAACGGUUUGAUGCUCUUUUCUUAAUCCGAUGGCAAGUGGAAGCUAUCACUUUACCACCUAAGAGGCUUUUGGAAAUUUGAUAUUGGUAAUUCAAGAAAACCAACGUAUCAAUGUUGAUGUUAAGAUGUUGAUAUGAUGGCUUUUAAAAAUAUAAGAAGAUAUGAUGACCAAACUCAAGUUAGACAUCUUCUAAGUUAUACUUUAAAAAUGUCUGAAACACUGAUGGCUCCUUCCAUAUCAUAUGUAAUUAUUGAGAUCAAAUUUUUAAAUAUAAAGAAGGAAGAGGAUAUAGAAUAUUUUGAAAGAAUAUUACGAAGAAACAUCCAUCACAAGUUAGUACGGUGAAAGUCAAAAGUAAAUUUUCAGAUACCCUACUAAUCUCACUUUUUGUUAUUCUAUUAAAAAAAUUAUGAAACAUUAGCUAUAUUUAUUUUUGUUAAAUAUUUAUUUUUUUAGUUUUGGUGAACAAGUUGGAUUUAUUGAUUAUUAUCAAUAGGCUUUAAAUCAUAUCACAUAAUGAAUUUUCAUAUCACUCUUGCUCGCACUUUAUAUAAUCUUUAUAAAAAUAAUUAUCAUGUUUUUAUUUAUAUUGAUAUUUGGAGUUCAAAUGUACUCAUAAUAUUGUUAUUGGAUUGAUAGUGAUUGGACCAUGCAAAAUAAAUUAUUGCUUUUAGAGAAGUUCAGAAAGAAAUUUCUUUUCCUGCUAGGCGAGGAGAAAUUUAUUCCUCUAUAUGAUUCCUAUGUUGCAGCUAAUUCAGAGACUUAAAUUUGAGCUACGUUGUUGGUUGUAUCUCUAAUUUUUUUUAUAGUAACAGUUUAAUUGGUUGUAUCUCUAUUUUUUUUAUAUAGUAACAGUUUAUUUGUAUUAAGAGAACAAUUAAUAAUAUGCACACAUCUAUAUCUCCUAUUAAGCAAGCUAUUUUAUUCUUGUGAAGUUAAUGAAAAAAAUAAGGCAGAUUUUAUAAUUUAAAUGAUAAAAAGAUUAGAAGAUUUUCUAGCGAUGUUUUUACCUGAUGGAAUUCAAUAUAUAAACUCUUUAAAAAAUAUUUCGAAUAUAAAUAGUUAUUAUAUAUUUUUAUUACAAAUAAUAUUAUGAAAGUUCGCUUAUAUUUGCAACAUUGGAAUGUGUGGGAUAAAAUUUUAAAGAUUUUAAAACUGUUUAAUAAUGUAAUAUAUACUUUUACUGGUGUUUAUUAUCUUACUAUGCAUAUUUUUUUGGUUGUUUGCAUUAAUAUGCUUGGUGAAUUAUAAGAACAUCAAUAUGAUAAUAAUUUAAAUAUGACAAUAGUGAUUAUAAAAUUAAAAAGGAUAAAUUAUUUUUUAAUUCUAUCGAUUUAUUUAAUUACAUAUUUAAUUACAUUUGACUUUAGUAAUUAUUCAAUUAUUUAACCAUUUAUUAUGAAAUUUAGCGGUAAAUGAUAUUGGUCAUAAAAUAAGAGAUAUUAAAAAAUUUAUUGUUAACUUAUAUAACUAUUAUAGUGCUAACUAUAGUAGACAACAUGGUACCUUUCUAACUAUAGUAGACAAAUUAUUUUUAAAUAAAAUAAUAAAAAAAAAUUAUUGGUUCAAACUUGAAUCGAAAUGGAUCAAACCGAAACCAAUUCUUGCCGAUUCGAUUUUUAUUCCAAAUUUUGAAUUGACAAUUUUUGAAAUGGAUGAUUCUGAAAUGGUGACUAAGUCUUAAAUAUAACUUAUAUUUAAAUCAUCAAAUUUUAUAUUUGCUGGUUUAGUUUGUGAAUUGAAGGACAAUGUAUUUGUAACAGUAGAAAGAGAUUUGAAUGCUUUAAAUUUGACUAUAUAUAUGUUUUCUUACACAGAGCAUAAAGAGUUCGGAUAUUUUAUGGCUAUUGUUAUUAGUGUGAUUGUUUGCACUUAUUGGAUUUAUUGGCAAAUUCUUACUGAUUUAGAUUAUGCCAGUGAAGAUUCUCACUGAUUUAGAUUAUGGCUUUAUUGAGAGAAAGUUCUUUACUACAGCUGAAGCCACUGAAGUCAAUGAGAGCCCGAUGAGUGGGCCGGGCGAGAGAGUUCAACCGGGUGCAGCCCAGGAGCCCGCCUGAUUCAGGUUGUGUCGAACCCCCGAGUCAAAUCAAUUUGAGGCAAUGGUUCGAUUGAACCAGAUGAGAACGGCGUCCUCAAAAUUCGCACCCGUGCCCUAAAUGCAGCGGUGAAACUGUCUCCUUAUUCACAGCCACUGCAACUGCGGCGUGUACCUUGGCGAUAGCCGGCGGCGGCGGCGGCGGCGGCAUCUUCCUCCGUCGAGCUCUUAUCGCUGCGGCGUUUUCCUCGGCGAACGGUGGAUGCUGAGGCUUCCUCUCCGUCAGCGAACGGUACAGCGCCCGGUAUCUCUCUCUUACUCCUCCUCCUCCUCCUUCGCCGUCACACAAUCCCUUCUCCUCCCUCUUCCCCCCUUUCGUCGCAGCUCUCCCGAUUCCCCGACACCAUCCUCCUCCUCCCUUCUCCCCCCUCCUCCCUCUUUCACCCGUUCAUCGCAGCCCCCCGCCCCUCUUCCCCGAUCCCUCCCCCUCCUCCACUUCAUCACAGUCCCCGNNNNNNNNNNNNNNNNNNNNNNNNNNNNNNNNNNNNNNNNNNNNNNNNNNNNNNNNNNNNNNNNNNNNNNNNNNNNNNNNNNNNNNNNNNNNNNNNNNNNNNNNNNNNNNNNNNNNNNNNNNNNNNNNNNNNNNNNNNNNNNNNNNNNNNNNNNNNNNNNNNNNNNNNNNNNNNNNNNNNNNNNNNNNNNNNNNNNNNNNNNNNNNNNNNNNNNNNNNNNNNNNNNNNNNNNNNNNNNNNNNNNNNNNNNNNNNNNNNNNNNNNNNNNNNNNNNNNNNNNNNNNNNNNNNNNNNNNNNNNNNNNNNNNNNNNNNNNNNNNNNNNNNNNNNNNNNNNNNNNNNNNNNNNNNNNNNNNNNNNNNNNNNNNNNNNNNNNNNNNNNNNNNNNNNNNNNNNNNNNNNNNNNNNNNNNNNNNNNNNNNNNNNNNNNNNNNNNNNNNNNNNNNNNNNNNNNNNNNNNNNNNNNNNNNNNNNNNNNNNNNNNNNNNNNNNNNNNNNNNNNNNNNNNNNNNNNNNNNNNNNNNNNNNNNNNNNNNNNNNNNNNNNNNNNNNNNNNNNNNNNNNNNNNNNNNNNNNNNNNNNNNNNNNNNNNNNNNNNNNNNNNNNNNNNNNNNNNNNNNNNNNNNNNNNNNNNNNNNNNNNNNNNNNNNNNNNNNNNNNNNNNNNNNNNNNNNNNNNNNNNNNNNNNNNNNNNNNNNNNNNNNNNNNNNNNNNNNNNNNNNNNNNNNNNNNNNNNNNNNNNNNNNNNNNNNNNNNNNNNNNNNNNNNNNNNNNNNNNNNNNNNNNNNNNNNNNNNNNNNNNNNNNNNNNNNNNNNNNNNNNNNNNNNNNNNNNNNNNNNNNNNNNNNNNNNNNNNNNNNNNNNNNNNNNNNNNNNNNNNNNNNNNNNNNNNNNNNNNNNNNNNNNNNNNNNNNNNNNNNNNNNNNNNNNNNNNNNNNNNNNNNNNNNNNNNNNNNNNNNNNNNNNNNNNNNNNNNNNNNNNNNNNNNNNNNNNNNNNNNNNNNNNNNNNNNNNNNNNNNNNNNNNNNNNNNNNNNNNNNNNNNNNNNNNNNNNNNNNNNNNNNNNNNNNNNNNNNNNNNNNNNNNNNNNNNNNNNNNNNNNNNNNNNNNNNNNNNNNNNNNNNNNNNNNNNNNNNNNNNNNNNNNNNNNNNNNNNNNNNNNNNNNNNNNNNNNNCUCUCUUACUCCUCCUCCUCCUCCUUCGCCGUCACACAAUCCCUUCUCCUCCCUCUUCCCCCUUUCGUCGCAGCUCUCCCGAUUCCCCGACACCAUCCUCCUCCUCCCUUCUCCCCCCUCCUCCCUCUUUCACCCGUUCAUCGCAGCCCCCGCCCCUCUUCCCCGAUCCCUCCCCCUCCUCCACUUCAUCACAGUCCCCGCCCCCCGUUUUCCUACUCCGAUACCAACGGUCCCGUCUCAGUUUUCCUACUCCGGACCCGACAGCCCCCUCUCCAUUAUCUUGCUCCGGACCCGACAGCCCCCGUCUCCCUCCUCUACACCCCUCUUCGCCCUCUCUAUACAUCUUCCCGUCCCCUUUCCUUCUCCCUGAUAGUUACCCGCUACCCUCCCAACAAGUAGUCAGCAGCAUGUCUUGAGCAUUUACUUUAAAGAAAUAGCAAGUCACAGUAUGCAAGUUAAAUACUGUUGUUGAGAUAGAAAGCAGGAGAAGUGCUGCUUUUAUAAAGAGCAAAGGGAAUUGGGGAGUCUUUGAGAAAAAUAAAAAAACACGGAAAAGAUAGAACAAGAGAUAGCAGAGACAAUAAUUGGGUCACUGUCCAAUGAAAAUCAUAAUUAUUUGUCAAUAGAAUCAUGCACAAGUCUGACUAUUCCCCAUGUGAAGCAUUUUAAUUAAAAAUAUACCUAAGAUAAUACUAAUCUGACUAGGUUUCCCAAAAGAAGCUCUCUCAACAGAAACUGCUUAUUUUGAUGAAGCGUUUGGUUCAUCAAACCUCUUAGUUUUCUUAUUAUGUUUACUGCAUUGCAGUUUCCUUUUCAAGCACAUCAGAAAAUUUCCACACAAAACCCCAAAUGAUACAAAGGAAUCGACUCAAUAUAAAGGACAAGUUGAGUCAACAACUAGAAUUUGACUUGAUUUCCAAACCCGAAAAUAGACCCAAAAUCUCAAUGUAUUUGGUUAGGUAUAACCUUACACCUUUACGUCAGCAUAGUGUGUUCUCUGCUGUAGUGCUGAAAGCAACUAUCUUUGCUCCUUGAGGCUAGUUCGUACCUCAAAACACACAGGCCUGCUUAUAUUUGGAUUAUCAAAUCUUGUAUUUGCUGGUUUAGUUGGUGAUUUGAAGGAGAUUUUGCAGGUGACAAUAGCAAGAGAUAUUAAUGCUCAUAAUUUAACUACAGAUAUUUUCUUAUACAGAGUUCAAUGAUGCAAAACAUCCAUAUGGAUGAUCAUGAAUUGUUUGAACAUCAUGGCUUUUGUUAUUAUUUUGGUCGUUUGCACAUGCUGGUUUUAUUGUCUAAUUCUCACUGAUAUAGGCUUUUUUUUUCUUCAUUAAUGAUAUGUAGCUGUGGCAACAUAUAAUUUAUUUUACUGUAGUUGAAGUUAUUUACAUGAUCAGUCUUUCUCAUAAAUUAAGUUCCUUUAUCAGCAAAGAACCAAAUAAACUAGUAGCAUUUCUUGAUUGAGGCAGUUUUCUUAUCUCUUUAUUCAUUUUUCAGAAUAUUUAUUGCCUUUCUCUGGUCUUCCAGAUAUGUUGUUUUUUUUUUGUCAAGUUGCUCAUCAUCAUCAACAAUGCCCUUUUUAGCAUGUUGAACCUUACAAAUUACUGUUGUUAAUUAAUUAAACAGUGUCUUUUCUACUUACGAGUCUUGCUAGACUUUUAACUAGAUCAUCUCUUUACAUUCUUGAUGAAAUGGAUCAAUUACUCUGGAAGUGCUCAUUUGAAAUGUUUCAGAUUUUAGUUGUAGGACAUUAGUGAAUUUGAUGUUAGAGAAAACAUUAUGCAUCUUCCAGUUAUUCUGAAUUCUGUAGUACCAUUUGCAAGUCAUUGAUGUUCAACCUAUAAGUAUAAACAUGAGUAUCGUCUGUAUACGAUCAACAUUGUAAAUGCCUAUGCCACUCUUAUGCAACAUAUUUGAUGAAUUUGAUAUAGUUUUUAAUUUGCUACAGGGAUAUAGGAUGCUUGGUAGUGUCUAAACCCACCAACUACAAUAUAAAAAUAAGUGGAAGAUAGUGUCUGUGCUCUGGUGUUAUAUGAUGCCAGUAUUUCAGUGGUGGAGAAUUGCUCGGAUGUGAGCAUUAGAAUGAGUAACGAAUUAUAGGUACUCGUUAUCAACUCUCAAACACCAUUUAGAGACUUAUCUCUGGAAGAAAUGGCUGAUUGGAGCUGAAUGCAUGUGGAUUAACACGAGUGGUAUAGGAAUGUUGUCUGAGACAGAUGAUUAGUAGAAAGUUUUCAACGUCCUUGAUUUGAGUUAGAAGAGGAAUUUGGACUUGGAGAGGGCAGAAUUAAGACUACUUUUCUUGUAUUUUUCUGCAAACAGUACAUGAUACUGCCUCAAAAGACAAUGUUUUUGGUGCAGAAGAGGCUCUUUUGCCUUCUCUCGUGUAACAAGUCCACCGUCCAUGUUUCCUCCUAUCAACUCUGCAGUCUGUUUAGCUUUACCACUGCCGAAGAGCACAGUUUAAAUCAUGGAUCCAACUUUACGUUGGUCGACCCCCUUGAGUCAUGUGAACUUUCCUCAAAAGAGGCUGCAAAAAGGGCCAAGGAUCGCAUCUGUGACAAAGAACUUUCAAGUUCAAGUCCUUCCAUUGAGUUCUUCAAGCAGAGCGGUUGGAGUGAUCCACUAGUCAUGAAGCUUUUGCAGAGGGAACCCAGGCUUCUACGUGCUAACGUAGAGACUAUCCUGAAGCCCAGGAUGAGAUCUUUGCAGGACAUGGGAUUUUCUGACACCGAAAUAGUUCAGCUGGUUUCAUCAUGUCCGUGUCUGCUCUAUUUACGUGAUAUCCAACCAAGGAUCAACUUCUGGAGGUCACUUCUUGGUUCUAAUGAGAGGUUAAUUAAAGCCAGCAGGGGGAACAUGUUUCUCCUUACUUCUAGCGUGGCUCAAAAGAUUGAGCCCAAUAUAUCUCUCUUGAGGGAACGUGGCAUCAGUGAGCAAUGCAUCACGCAGAUGUUGGUGGCAGUACCGAGUUUUUUUUGUCGAAUGAACAAAUAUAUCGACGAAUCUAUCAAACGUGUUGAAGAGUUGGGAGUGUCACGUGACUCUAAAAUGUUCCCUCAUGCACUUUUAACAGUCAUGACCUUGAGCAGGUCCAGGUUUGAUGCUACCUUUGCAACCUUGAUGAGCUUUGGGUGGUCCCAACCAGACAGCCUUGCUACAUUCAGGAGGUAUCCAUUCAUUUGGAAUUACUCAAAGAAGAACUUAUCUGACAAGAUGACAUUCCUGAUGAAGGAAGCUGGUUGUGAGCUGACAUAUAUCAUUGGCCAUCCCACGCUUCUUACAUUUAGCUUGGAGAAGAGGUUGAGACCUCGAUGUGAAGUUAUGAAUUUUCUUGAUCAUAAUAAAUUGCUGGAUAAAGGACAUGACCUGCUAUCUGUCAUGCUGCUAAGCGAAGAGAAGUUCAGAAACAAAUUCCUUUUCCUGCUACGCAAGGAGAAAUUUAUUGCUCAAUAUGAUUCCUAUGUUGUUGCUGUGCACGGAAAGCAUGACGUUAUUGCCGAAAACUAGGAUUGCAAGUGCUUCCUUAAGACAAAGUGUCGACCUAUUGCAUGCUGACUGCAAAUUAAUCAUUUUACAUUUGUGACAAUUUAAAAUUCUCCUUGAGUUUCUUGGAGUAUAACUUCCCUGUUGAUUUGGUGAUUGUUCUUCUAUUUAUGUUUUCUACAACAAAAGGUACUCAUUCUUUUAUGCUGAUGUCUCAGAAAUUGGUAUGGGGGAAAGUCAAUUACUUAAGAAAGAUAACCAAAAUAUCAAGCUUUUGUGUUCUGUUUCUAUCAUAUUUACCUGAUUCCGCCAGCCAUAUUGAUAACUGUGCUGUCAUUUAGAUGAUUGUGAUCUAAUUUAAUAAGGAUACCUUCCUUUUGAAUGGGGACAUCUCAAAGAAUUAUGUAAGAGCCGCUUGGACAGAAAAUACUUCAAAGGCAACCACAGAUGUGGAUAUGACUAACAUUUUUGUUGUAGUCAUAUACACACUCGCUCAUUAAAUAAUUAAGUCCAGUUUAACCGUUUAAUUGAACGCAUUAAACAAACGAUCUAUAUUAAGUUUGAUACACAUCUGUAUUGUUAUAUAAUUAGAUUAUGUGUUUUACUUUGCUUGUGCGAUCUAAUAGACCCAACAUGGCUCCCGUUUAAUUGUGUGUUUCAUUUUUUUCUUAUAAUGUUGUAUUAUCAUUUUGGUGUCUUCAACAUAAGGAAUAGUAUCAUUAUUUUUUUAGUGAUAUGUUUAGUUACUAAAAUUUUAACUUAAUAAAUAAUUCUAAGAGGAAAGACUUAGAAAAGUGAACAAAAUAUAUUGUUGGAUGGUUGUUGGGGAACUAUUGAUUAUAAAUCAGUAAUGAUGUUAUGAUGUUAAAGAGUGUAAAAUUAUUUUUAAAAAUUCUGAAAAGACAUAAAAGAUAUGUAUUUGUAAGAUUUUGGAUAAUAAAAAAAUACAAAUGGAGUUUACAUUUUUCAGCAAUAGUUUUUGAACCAAACAAGUUUCAAAAAAUUUACUGCUUAUGUCCUCAUUUAUUUUUCAAUAUAUUCCCUAUUAUGCAUUAAUAGACCUAGUUGAAUAGAUGAUAAUGCUAUAAAUCAGAUACUCCUCAUGAUUGAAAAAUUAGAAAAUAUCAAGAUUUUUGUAUUUAAGUUAUUCGGACUCAUUAAAACUCUACGACAACAUGUUUUUUUUAGUUAAUAAUUUAUUGAUAAGUCCCUUCCACAAGUCACUGACAAUCACUUCCUCAUAUGUUUAUUUCAUAAUAUAAUUAUUUAUUUUAAUUUUUUUAAAAAAUAAAUGGCUAACAUAAGAUUUCAUCACGUGAGGAUAUUGAGUUCAUUAAAAAAGGUCUUCUUCUUCGUGGCCCCUUUAGCAAGAAACUUUCAAUUAGGAAGAUCCGUGAAAACAACAAACAAUAACCUUUAGUACUUUGAAUAAGUAUCUUAUUAAAUUAUUUCUCGAGCACUCUACAUUUACAUGUUUGAUCGGACCAAUUAAGUUGCAAUAUUAUCGACUACUUCUGUCUUUUUUUUUUUUCGUUAGGCCUUGAUAAAAAUCAUAUAUAUUUCUGUAAAGUCGAUAAAGUUAUCAUCUAAGUAAGAUACUUGAAACUAGUUAUGACAUACUACUAUUGGGAUGCAUCCGUAAAUUAUAACAGACUUCUCCAAAAUAGACCCAAAAUCUCAAUGUAUUUAGUUAAGUAUAACUAGUCCUAACUAAAUCACAACUGGUUUGUUGUGAUGGGUUUGAAUCACAACUAAAUCAAUGCAUUUAGUUAGGUAUAAAUAUGACUGGUUUGAAUUGAAUCAAACCAGAAUCGAUGGUUCGUUGAUUGCAAAUCAAAUCGUAAUCUACUAGGGGUUGUUUAAUUGAGGUUUCAAGGUUUGAAAAAUUAGAAUCAACGAUACCAUAAUUGAUUAUUCCGCUUCCUAUUUAAACCAUCGAUUUGAUGGUGUUUUAUAUAGAUAAAAACCUUGAUCAAAUAGGUUGUAGAUAGAUAAUUUGGCUUAAACGAUUGGGCCCAAUAGUAUGUGCAUGGACUAUAUUUAGGGGUACUUUAGUUAUUUUAUAAUUAAAAAUAUUAAAAAUUAGAAAACAAAUUAGUCCUUCCAAUAAGCAAAUAAUAGCUAGUUAUGAAGAUAUUUUAAGAAAAAAUUAAAACCCUAUAGAUACCCCAAAAAUCUUUUAUUGUUUCUCGCAUCAUCGAUUAAGUACUUGUUGAAGUUUGAACGCUUUGAUGCUUUUUUCUUAAUCUGAUGGCAAGUGGAAGCUAUCACUUCACCACAGAGGAGGCUUUUGAAAAUCUGAUCUUGAUAAUUCAAGAAAGCCAACAUAUCAAUGUUGAUGUUAAGAUGUUGAUAGAUGACUUUUAAAAAUAUAGAAGAAAGAAGAUAUGAUGACCAAACUCAAGUUAGACAUCUUCAAGUUAUACUUUAAAAACAUCUGAAACACUGAUAGCUCCUUCCAUAUUGUAAUUAUUGAGACUAAAUUUUUAAAUACAAAGAGGGAAGAAGAUAUAGAAUAUUUUGAAAGUAUAUCAAGAAGAAACAUCCAUUACAAGUUGGUACGAUUAUACCAGUGAAGAUUCUCAAUAAAAAGUUAAUUUUUCUUCAUUAAUGAUUGGUUGCAUAAAGUUCUUUACUAUACUAUAGCAGAAGCGAUUGACGACACCGGGCGCCCGAUAAGUGGGCCGGGCGGAUGAGUUCGACCGGGUGCGGCCCAGGCGCCGCAUGAUUUGGCUGUGUCGAGCCUUAGUCAAGUCUAUUUGGAACUAAGGUUCGAUUGAACCAGAUGAGAACGGCAUCCUCAAAGUCGCACCCGUGCCCUAAAUGCCGCGGUGAAACUGUCUCCUCCUCUACAGCGACCACGACUGCGGCGUUUUCCACGGAGAACGGUGCAUGCUGCGGCUUCCUCUCCGUCGGCGAACGGUGACAGCGCCCGGUAUCUCUCUCUUACUCCUCCUCUUCCUCCUUCGCCGUUAGUUAUAUGUGCUUUCCCUGCACAUCAUCAACAGUGGCUUCUUUAGCAUGUUGAACCUCACAAAUUACUGUUGUUAAUUUCUUAAACAGUGUGUUUUCUAAUUACCAGUCUUGUUAGACCUAUAACAAAAUCAUCUCUUUACAUUCUUGUUGAAAAGGAUCAAUUAUUCUGGAAGUGCUCAUUUGAACUGUUACAGGUUUUAGUUGUAGGACAUUAGUGAAUCUGAUGUUAGACAAAACAUUAUGCAUCUUCCACCUAAUCUUAGUGCUGAAGUACCCAUUGCAAGUCAUCGACUGAUGUUCAACCUAUUAGUACAAAGUUGAAAAUCAUCUGUAUACAAUCAACAUAGUAAAUGCCAUUGUCACUCUUAUGCUGCAUAUUUGAUGAAAAUACAUUUGAUAUAAUUUUUCAAUAUCUGCAUGGAUAUAGUGUGCUUCACAGUUUCUAAAGCUACUACCUACAAUAGAUAAAUAGCGGAAGGUAGUGUCAGUGUGCAUGUGUCAUAUCAAGACAUUAUUUCAGUGGUGGUUAAUACCUUGGAUGUGAGCAUGGUAAUAAGUAAAUGAUCAAUGGUACCCGUAAUCAACAUUCAAACACCAUUUAGAGGCUUACAUCUGAAAGAAAUGGUUAAUGGGAACUGAAUGCAGGUGGAUUUACGUGAGUGGUAGGGGAAUGUUAUCCGAUACAGAUGAUUAGUUGGAAGCUUUCAACUUCCUUUUGGUUGGAAGCAGACACAGAAAAUAUAUUUAGUUCAGCAAUAAAACUACUUGUGUUUUUCUGCAAAUAGUGUGUGAUACUGCUUCAAAAUAUAAUGUUUUUGGUGCAAAAGAGGCUCUUUUGCAUUCUCCCAUUUAACAAGUCCACCAUCCAUGUUUCUUCCUAUGAACUCUUCAGUCUGCUUAGCUUUUCCACCGCCAAAGACCAAAUUUCAGAUCAUAAAUCCUACUUUACAGUGGCCAACCCCCUUCAAUCAUGUGAACUUUCCUCGGAAACGGCUGCAAAAACAGCCAAGUUCCUCACCUGUCACACAAAAUCUUCAAGUUCAAGUCUUUCCAUUGAGUUCUUUAAGCAGAGCGGUUGGAGUGAUGCACGAGUCUUGAAGCUUACCCAGAGGGAACCCAGGUUCCUAUGUGCUGACAUAGAGACUGCCAUGAAGCCCAAGUUGAGAUCUUUGUAGGACAUGGGAUUUUCUGACACUGAAAUAGUUCAGCUGGUUUCAUCAUGUCCGACUAUGCUCCUUCUACAUGACAUCAAACAGAGGAUCAACUUCUGGAGGUCACUUCUUGGUUCUAAUGAGAGGUUAAUUAAAGCCAGCCGGAGGAACAUGUUUCUCUUUACUUCUAGCUUGGCUCGAAAGAUUGAGCCCAAUGUAUCUCUCUCGAGGGAAUGUGGCAUCAGUGAGCAACGCAUUGCGCAGAUGGUGGUGAGACUACCAAAUUUUUUAUGUCAAACAGAAAAAAUGUAUCAAGGAAGUUAUCAAAUAUGUUGAGGAGUUGGGUGUGUCACGUGGCUGUAAAAUGUUCCCUCGUGUACUAUUAGCAGUCAUGACCCUGAGCAGGUCCAGGUUUGACGCUACCUUUGCAACCCUGAUUAAUUAUGGGUGGUCCCAACCAGAUUGCGUUGCUGCAUUCAGGAAGUAUCCAUCCAUUUAGUGUUUGCCAAAGAAGACCUUAUGUGACUAGAUGACAUUCCAGAUGAAGGAAGCUGGUUGUGAGUUGACAUAUAUCAUUUGCCGUCCUAUAACGAUUUUAGCUAGAAUUGCCUAAGACAUAAGGUACCUUUGCGUCAAAGACACGAACUUAGCUUGCGUUGUCUAUGUCGCGCUUCGUCCUUACGAUUUACGUUCGCAAAGAUUAGCCCACUUGCAACCUCUCGCAGGUCUCGAAACAUCUGUAAAAGAGAAAGUUGAUUAGUUUAAAGAACGAGCGACGGACAAGUCCCGACGUCUCGCGAAAAAGAGAAGCUUUACAAGUAAUUCAGCGAGCAACUUGUAUGCACAAGAGAAAAGAGGGAGAGGGGGAAAACAAGGAUUUUAGAAGGUUGAACGAACAGUUGUAAGUCCGCAAACAGUUGCUCACCCGACACUAUACCGAGGUCUCAUUCAGCCUUGUGCCACCCAGGUGGUUCUAGGGUGCUGAGAUGGCUAACGUUUCACGUGCAGCAGCGGGCUGCAGAAAUCAGCCUGUGGCAUGGGAAAACAGAGCCUUUUUGGGGUCGUUUUGCUUGGUUCGGCGAGUGGUCACACCGUAGCGUUAUAACUUAUUCGAACUUACAUUUUUACAAACAAAAAGACUUAAAACUAAGCCAAAACAUGUUGCCAAGCAAUUAUACAUGUAGACGAGAACGACGAAUGAUUCGGUGAACGGAGUUGUUCAAGGUGCGCAACGACCAUUCAUAACAUUCUCCCCCACUCAAAUUGUCGAUGCCCUCGUCGACGCUUGUUGAUAGUUGUUGAUGAUUGCUUCUUCAUGUCAUAGGGUGUCUUCAGGCUCCCAACUAGCUUCAGAUCGGGGAAGCUUUCGCCACUUCACCAAGUACACGGUCUGCUCAGCUCUAGUGGGUAGCUUUAUCUUGCGAUCUGCUAGAAUGGUUUCAACUCGCUUUUCGUAGGAGGCUGUGGUGGGGGGUAGCCAAGUUGGAACACUUCGGGAAGCAUCUUGCGGAUCCGAGUGGUAGGCUUUCAAGUUGCUGGCGUGAAGAAUAUUGUGAAUGUUGAACCACGUCGGCAGCUGCAACUUGUAGGAGACAUUAUCCACCCUACUGAUAAUUGGGAAGGGCCCUUCAUACUUGCGCACCAAUCCUUUAUGUAUUUUGUUUCUAAAGAAUUAGAGUGAUGCUGGUUGGAGCUUGACCAACACCAAAUCGUCGAUCUUGAACUCUUACGGUCGCCUACCAAAGUUUGCCCACUUCAUUCUUUUUGCUGUCUUCUCCAAGUAAGUCCACACAAUAUCUACAUUUCGGUGUCACUCCCUUGCAAAGUGGUAGGCUGAUGGAUUACUCCCAGUAUAUCCAAUUACUUUAGUGUGAGGAGUUGACGGUUGUUACCCUGUAAUAAUCUCGAAAGGGCUCUUGUUGGAUGCAGAGCUUCGCUUCAAGUUAUAGGAGAAUUGGGCAAUGUCCAAUAACUUCAUCCAAUCUUGUUGGUUGGCACUCACGUAGUGCCGAAGAAUAUUGCUGUAGGAGAUGAAAGCCACUGUCUCGACAAUCUUAGACUUGUUCUUCGAAUCAAAAUACAAUGCGUUGCCAAUAUUUAGAUGAUCAAAUCUUAUAUUUGCUGGUUUAGUUUGAAGGAGAAUAUAAUACUGGUAACAAUAGAAAGAGAUUUUAAUGCUUUGACUAAAUAUGUUUUCUUACGCAAGCAUAAAUAGUUCGGAUAUUAUGGCUUUUUAUAUUAUUGUUAUUGGUUGCACUUGUUGGAUUUAUUGGCAAAUUCUCACUGAUUUAGAUUAAUAGCUGAAGCAAUUGAAGUCACCGAGCGCCCGAUAAGUGGGCCGGGGGUGCGAGUUCAACCGGGUGCGGCCCAGGCGCCCGUCUGAUUAAGGCUGGGUCUAGCCCAAGUCAAGUCAAUUUGGAUCUCUGGUUCGAUUGAACCAGAUGAGAACGGCAUCCACAAAUUCGCACCCGUGCCCUAAAUGCAGCGGUGAAACUGUCUCCUUCUCCACAGCGACCGCGACUGCGGCGUUUUCCUUGGCGAAAGGCGGCAGCUGCGGUGGCAUCUUCCUACGUCGAGCUCUUAUCGCUGCGGCGUUUUCCUCGGCAAACGGUGGAUGCUGCGGUUUCCUCUCCGUCGGCGAACGGUGAUAGCGCCCGGUAUCUCUCUCUUACACAUCCUCCUCCUCCUCUUCCUCCUUCUCCGUCGCAAAAUCCCUUCCCCUCUCUCUUUCCCCGUUCAUCGCAGCCCACCGCCGCCCCGGCCUCAUCGCUGCCCCCUUUCCCCAAUCCCUCCUUCCUCUUCCCCUUUCGCCACAGCUCUCCCUCUUCCCCGACACCGUCCCACGACUCCAUAUGUAGCUGACGCUACAUAUAAUUUUUUUAGUGUAGUUUAAGUUAUUUACAUGAGGAAUCUUUCUCAUAAAUUAAGUUCCUUUAUCAGCAUAGAACCAAAUAAACUAGUAGCAUUUCUUGAUUGAGGCAGUUUUCUUAUCCCUUUAUUCAUUUUUCAGAAAAUUUAUUGCCUUUCUCUGGCCUUCCAGCUAUGUUGUUUUUUUUUGGUCAAGUUGCUCAUCAUCAUCAACAAUGCCCUUUUUAGCAUGUUGAACCUCACAAAUUACCCUUGUUAAUUAAUUAAACAGUGUCUUUUCUGCUUACCAGUCUUGCUAGACUUUUAACUAGAUCAUCUCUUUACAUUCUUAAUGAAAUGGAUCAAUUACUCCCCAAUGUUUCAGAUUUUAGUUGUAGGACAUUAGUGAAAUCGAUGUUAGAAAAAACAUUAUGCAUCUUCCAGUUAUUCUGAAUUCUGUAGUACCAUUUGCAAGUCAUUGAUGUUCAACCUAUAAGUAUAAACAUGAGUAUCGUCUGUAUACGAUCGACAUUGUAAAUGCCUAUGCCACUCUUAUGCAGCAUAUUUGAUGAAGACACAUUUGAUAUGGUUUUUAAAUUGCUACAGGGAUAUCUGAUGCUUGGUAGUGUCUAAACCCACCAACUACAAUAUAAAAAUAAGUGGAAGAUAGUGUCUGUGCGCUGGUGUUAUAUGAUGCCAUUAUUUCAGUGGUGGAGAAUUGCCCGGUUGUGAGCAUUAGAAUGAGUAACUAAUUAUAGGUACUUGUUAUCAACUCUCAAACACCAUUUAGAGACUUAUCUCUGGCAGAAAUGGCUGAUUGGAACUGAAUGCAUGUGGAUUAACACGAGUGGUAUAGGAAUGUUGUCUGAGACAGAUGAUUAGUAGAAAGUUUUCAACAUCCUUGAUUUGAGGUAGAAGAGGAAUUUGGACUUGGAGAGGGCAGAUUAAGACUACUUUUCUUGUAUUUUUCUGCAAACAGUACGUGAUACUGCCUCGAAAGACAAUGUUUUUGGUGCAGAAAAGGCUCUUUUGCCUUCUCUCAUGUAACAAGUCCACCAUCCAUGUUUCCUCCUAUCAACUCUGCAGUCUGUUUAGAUUUUCCACUGCCGAAGAGCACAGUUCAAAUCAUGGAUCAAACUUUACGUUGGUCGACCCCCUUGAGUCAUGUGAACUUUCCUCAAAAGAGGCUGCAAAAAGGGCCAAGGAUCGCAUCUGUGAAAAAGAACUUACAAGUUCAAGUCCUUCCAUUGAGUUCUUCAAGCAGAGCGGUUGGAGUGAUGCACUAGUCAUGAAGCUUUUGCAGAGGGAACCCAGGUUGUUGCUCGCUAAUGUAGAGACUGCCCUGAAGCCCAGGAUGAGAUCCUUGCAGGACAUGGGAUUUUCUGACACUGAAAUAAUUCAGCUGGUUUCAUCAUGUCCUACUCUGCUCCGUUUAAGUGAUAUCCAACCAAGGAUCAACUUCUGGAGGUCACUUCUUGGUUCUAAUGAGAGGUUAAUUAAAGCCAGCAGGAGGAACAUAUUUCUCCUUACUUCUAGCUUGGCUCAAAAGAUUGAGCCCAAUAUAUCUCUCUUGAGGGAAUGUGGCAUCAGUGAGCAAUGCAUCACGCAGAUGCUGGUGGUAGUACCGAGUUUUUUUUGUCGAAAGAACAAUUGUGUCAAUGAAUCUAUCAAACGUGUUGAGGAGUUUGGUGUGUCACGUGACAGUAAAAUGUUCCCUCAGGUACUUUUAACAGUCAUGACCCUCAGCUGGUCCAGGUUUCAUGCUACUUUUGAAACCCUGAUGAGCUUUGGGUGGUCCCAACCAGACAGCAUUGCUGCAUUCAGUAGGUAUCCAGUCAUUUGGAAUUACUCAAAGAAGAACUUAUCUGACAAGAUGACAUUCCUGAUGAAGGAAGCUGGUUGUGAGCUGACAUAUAUCGUUGGUCAUCCCAUGCUUCUUACAUAUAGCUUGGAGAAGAGGUUGAGACCUCGAUAUGAAGUUAUGAAUUUUCUUGAUCAGAAUAAAUUGCUGGAUAAAGGACAUGACCUGCUAUCUGUCAUCCUGCUAUCUGAAGAGAAGUUCAGAAACAAAUUCCUUUUCCUGCUACGCAAGGAGAAAUUUAUUGCUCAAUAUGAUUCCUAUGUUGUUGCUGUGCGGGGAAAGCACUACGUUGUUGUGGAAAACUAGGAUUGCAAGUGCUUCCUUAAGACAAAGUGUCGACCUAUUGCAUGCUGACUGCAAAUUAAUCAUUUUACAUUUGUGACAAUUUAAAAUUCUCCUUGAGUUUCUUGGAGUAUAACUUCCCUGUUGAUUUGGUGAUUGUUCUUCUAUUUAUGUUUUCUACAACAAAUGGUACUCAUUCUUUUAUGCUGAUGUCUCAGAAAUUGGUGUGGGGGAAAGUCAAUUACUUAAGAAAGGUAACCAAAAUAUCAAGCUUUUGUUUUCUGUUUCUAUCAUAUUUACCUGAUUCUGGCAGCCAUAUUGAUUACUGUGCUGUCAUUUAGAUGAUUGUGAUCUAAUUUAAUAAGGAUACCUUCCUUUUGAAUGGGGACAUCUCAAAGAAUUAUGUAAGAGCCGCUUGGACGGAAAAUACUUCAAAGGCAACCACAGAUGUGGAUAUGACUAACAUUUUUGUUGUAGUCAUAUACACACUCGCUCAUUAAAUAAUUAAGUCCAGUUUAACCGUUUAAUUGAACGCAUUAAACAACCUAUCUAUAUUAAGUUUGAUACACAUCUGUAUUGUUAUAUAAUUAGAUUGUGUGUUUUACUUUGCUUGUGCGAUCUAAUAGACCCAACAUUGCUCCCGUUUAAUUGUGUGUUUCAUUUUUUUCUUAUAAUGUUGUAUUAUCAUUUUGGUGUCUUCAACAUAAGGAAUAGUAUCAUUAUUUUUUUAGUGAUAUGUUUAGUUACUAAAACUUUAACUUAAUAAAAAUUUCUAAGAGGAAAGACUCAGAAAAGUGAACAAAAUAUAUUGUUGGAUGGUUGUGGGGGAACUAUUGAUUAUAAAUCAGUAAUGAUGUUAUGAUGUUGAAGAGUGUAAACUUCUUUUUAAAAAUUAUGAAAAGACAUAAAAGAUAUGCAUUUGUAAGAUUUUGGAUAAUAAAAAAAUACAAAUGAAGUUUACAUUUUUCAGCAAUAGUUUUUGAACCAAACAAUAACCUUUAGUACUUUGAAUAAUUAUCUUAUUGAAUUGUUUCUCAAACACUAUGUACUUCUAUGUUUUUUAUCAUGGGAAUGACCUAUUAAGUUGUAACAUCAUUAACUAUUUUUGUUUUUUUUCUUUUUCAUUAGGUCUCAAUAAAAUUCAUCUAUAUUUUUAUAAGGUCGAUAAAAUCAUCAUCUAAGUAAGAUACUUGAAACGGAUUAUAUAAACUACUCCUGUUGGGAUGCAUAUGUAAGUUAUGACAUACUACUCCAAAAUAGACCCAAAAUCUCAAUGCAUUUAGUUAACUAUAACUAGUCCUAACUAAAUCACAACUGAUUUGUUCUGACGGGUUUGAAUCACAACUGAAUCAAUGCAUUUAGUUAGGUAUAAAUAUGACUGGUUUGAAUUGAAUCAAACAGGUUCGUUGAUUGCAAAUCAAAUCGUAAUCUACCAGGGGUAAUUUAAUUGAGGUUCCUAGGUUUGAAAAAUUAAAAUCAAUGAUCCCAUAAUUGAUUAUUCCGCUUCCUAUUUAAACCAUCGAUUUGAUGGUGUUUUAUAUAGAUAAAAAACCCCAAUCAAAUAGGUUAUAGAUGGAUAAUUGGGCUUAAACAAUUGGGCCCAAUAGUAUGUGCUUGGACCAACAAUCGAAUGAAUGUCAAAUUGGCUAUAUUUAUGGGUACUUUAGUUAUUUUAUAAUUAAAAAUAUUAAAAUUAGAAAAUAAAUUAGUCAUUCCAAUAAGCAAAUAAUAGCUAGUUAUGAAGAUAUUUUAAGAAAAUAAAAAUAAAAACCCUAUAGAUACCCCCAAAAAAUCUUUUAUUGUUUCUCAGAUUAAGUAUUUGUUGAAGUUUGAAUGAUUUGAUGCUCUUUUCUUAAUCCGAUAGCAAGUGGAAGCUAUCACUUCACCAUUGAGGAGGCUUUUGGAUCAUGUGAAACAUUAGCUAUAUUUAUUUUUGUUAAAUAUUUAUUUAUAUCUACAAUGGAAUGUCUGUGAAAUAGUUUUAAAAAUUUUAAAAGUUUUUAGAAUGGUAACAUAUAGUUUGACUAGUGUUUAUAUGUUACUGUAAAUUUUUUUUCUUAGUUGUUUGCAUUGAUAUAGUUGGUGCAUUAUAAGAAUAUCAAUACGAUAAUAAUUUAAAUUUGAUAAUAAUGGCUACAAAAUAAAAAAUAUAAAUUAUUAUUAUUAAAUUUAUUGAUUUAUUUAAUUAUAUGGGUUUUUAAUUUUGUAUAGAUUAAAUGACUUUUGUAAUUAUUUAACCGCUUAUUAUGAAAGUUUAGGAGUCGAUGAUAUUAGUGAUAAGAUUAAAGAUAUUAAAAAAUUAAUUAUUAACUUACAUAAUGUUAACUAUAGUAGACAACAUGAUACCUUUGAAACUUCUUGGAUCUAAGUUAGCAAAGGUAAUAAAAUUUGUAAGGGAGAAAAACUAUUAUUACAAAGACAAAAGCAUCGAAAGGAUCUUAAAGCUAAAACUUCAAGUUUAUUUUGUAUCUAAUAAUGUUUUUAAAGUUUGAUGAUAGCUCUAAGUAUAGAGUUUUCUAUUCUUGAAUAAUGGACAUGAUACAUAAAAACAUUUUUAGUUUUAAGGAUUAAUACUAGUACUUUAGUGUCCAUAGUAUCUGUGGAGUCAACCUUCAAUAUAAGAGGACGAGUUCUAUGUGAAACUAGAUUAAAUAUGACUCUCGAACCAAUUGAUGUUUAAGUAUGUAUUAAUAGAUAAAAGCGAUAAAAUAGAACCAAUACAAAGAUGUCCAAUAUUAAAAUUGAUUAAAUAUUUAUAAAUUUACAUAAAUUUGUAUUAACUUUUUUUAUUAUAUCCUAACACAUUAUACAUCCAUGUUUAAAUUAAAAAAAUUAUAAUUUUUAAAUAAAAAUAAUAAAAAAAAUAUCAGUUCAAACUAAAAUCAAAAUCGAUCAAACUGGAACUGAACCUUACCGGUUCGAUUUUUUAUUAUAAAUUUUGCCAAACUAGAAAUGAUAAUUCCGGAAUUGAAAUCAAUUUACUUAGACUAGAUAUAACCUUACUGAAAGCCACCCUCUCCAUAAUCUGAGACUUGUUCUUUAACUCAAAACACAAUGCCCUAUCAAUAUUAAGAUUAUCAAAUCUUAUAUUUGCUGGUUUAGUUAGUGAGUUGAAGGAGAAUAUAAUAAUAUGGUAACAAUAAAAAGAGAUUUGAAUGCUUUAAAUUUGACUACAUAUGUUUUCUUACACAGAGCAUAAAUAGUUUGGAUAUUAUGGCUUUUGUUAUUAUUGUUAUUGUUUGCACUUGUUGGAUUUGUUAGCAAAUUCUCACUGAUUUAGAUUAUGUCAGUGAAGAUUCUCACUGAUUUAGAUUAUGGUUUUAUUGAGAAAGUUCUUUACUACAGCUGAAGCCAUUGAUGUCACCGGCCGCCCGAUAAGUGGGCCGAGCGAGCGAGUUCAACCGGGUGCAGCCCAGGCGCCCACGUGAUUCAGAUUGCCUCAAGCCCGAGUCAAGUCAAUUUGGACAAAUGGUUCGAUUGAACCAGAUGAGAACGGCUUCCUCAAAAUUCCCACCCGUGCCCUAACUGCAGAGGUGAAACUGUCUCCUCCUAUACAGCGACCGCGAAUGCGGCGUUUUACUUGGCGAAAGGCGGCUGAAGCGGCGGCAUCUUCCUCCGUCGAGCUCUUAUCGCUGCGGCGUUUUCCUCGGAGAACGGUGGAUGCUGCGGCUUCCUCUCCGUCGGCGAAUGGUGACAGCGCCCGGUAUCUCUCUCUUACUCCUCCUCCUCUUCCUCCGUCGCCGUUAAUUAUAUGUGCUUUCCUCCGUCGCACAAUUCCUUCCCCUCUCUCUUCCCCCGUUCAUCGCAGCCCACGGCCGCCCCCGCCUCGUCGCUGCCCCCUUUCCCCAAUCCCUCCUUCCUCUUCCCCUUUCGCGACAGCUCUCCCGCUUCCCGCUUCCCGCUUCCCCGACACCGCCCCCAGACUCCAUAUGUAGCUGAUGCUACAUAUAAUUUUUUUUACUGUAGUUGAAGUUAUUUACAUGAGCAAUCUUUCUCAUAAAUUAAGUUCUUUUAUCAGCAUAGAACCAAAUAAACUAGUAGCAUUUCUUGAUUGAGGCAGUUUUCUUAGCUCUGUAUUCAUUUUUAAGAAAAUUUAUUGCCUUUCUCUGGUCUUCCAGCUAUGUUGUUUUUUUUUUUUGUCAAGUUGCUUAGCAUCAUCAACAAUGCCUUUUUUAGCAUGUUGAACCUCACAAUUUACUGUUGUUAAUUAAUUCAACAGUGUCUUUUCUACUGACCGGUCUUGCAAGACUUAUAACUAGAUCAUCUCUCUAAAUUCUUGAUGAAAAGGAUCAAUUAUUCUGGAAGUGCUUAUUUGAAAUGUUCCAGGUUUUAGUUAUAGGACAUUAGUGAAUCUGAUGUUAGAGAAAACAUUAUGCACCUUCCUGUUACUCUGAAUUCUGUACUACCAUUUGCGAGUCAUUGAUGUUCAACCUACAAGUAUAAACUUGAGUAUCGUCUGUGUACGAUCGACAUUGUAAAUGCCUAUGCCACUCUUAUGCAGCAUAUUUGAUGAAGAUACAUUUGAUAUGGUUUUUCAAUUGCUACAGGGAUAUAGGAUGCUUGAUAGUGUCUAAACCCACCAACUACAAUAUAAAAAUAAGUGGAAGAUAGUGUCUGUGCUCUGGUGUUAUAUGAUGCCAGUAUUUCAGUGGUGGAGAAUUGCUCGGAUGUGAGCAUUAGAAUGAGUAACGAAUUAUAGGUACUCGUUAUCAACUCUCAAACACCAUUUAGAGACUUAUCUCUGGAAGAAAUGGCUGAUUGGAGCUGAAUGCAUGUGGAUUAACACGAGUGGUAUAGGAAUGUUGUCUGAGACAGAUGAUUAGUAGAAAUUUUUCAACAUCCUUGAUUUGAGGUAGAAGAGGAAUUUGGACUUGGAGAGGGCAGAUUAAGACUACUUUUCUUGUAUUUUUCUGCAAACAGUACGUGAUACUGCCUCAAAAGACAAUGUUUUUGGUGCAGAAGAGGCUCUUUUGCCUUCUCUCGUGUAACAAGUCCACUGUCCAUGUUUCCUCCUAUCAACUCUGCAGUCUGUUUAGCUUUUCCACUGCCGAAGAGCACAGUUCAAAUCAUGGAUCCAACUUUACGUUGGUCGACCCCCUUGAGUCAUGUGAACUUUCCUCAAAAGAGGCUGCAAAAAGGGCCAAGGAUCGCAUCUGUGAAAAAGAACUUUCAAGUUCAAGUCCUUCCAUUGAGUUCUUCAAGCAGAGCGGUUGGAGUGAUCCACUAGUCAUGAAGCUUUUGCAGAGGGAACCCAGGCUUCUACGUGCUAACGUAGAGACUAUCCUGAAGCCUAGGAUGAGAUCUUUGCAGGACAUGGGAUUUUCUGACACUGAAAUAGUUCAGCUGGUUUCAUCAUGUCCGUGUCUGCUCUAUAUACGUGAUAUCCAACCAAGGAUCGACUUCUGGAGGUCACUUCUUGGUUCUAAUGAGAUGUUAAUUAAAGCCUGCAGGAGGAACAUGUUUCUCCUUGCUUCUAGCUUGGCUCGAAAGAUUGAGCCCAAUGUAUCUCUCUCGAGGGAAUGUGGCAUCAGUGAGCAACACAUCGCGCAGAUGGUAGUGAGACUACCAAGUUUUUUAUGUCAUACAGAAAAAUGUAUCAAGGAAGCGAUCAAACAUGUUGAGGAGUUGGGUGUGUCACGUGACUGUAAAAAGUUCCCUCGUGCACUUUUAACAGUCGUGACGCUGAGCAGGUCCAGGCUUGAUGCUACCUUUGCAACCCUGAUCAGCUAUGGGUGGUCCCAACCAGAUUGCGUUGCUGCAUUCAGGAAGCAUCCAUCCAUUUGGUCUUUGUCAAAGAAGACCUUAUGUGACAAGAUGACAUUCCUGAUGAAGGAAGCUGGUUGUGAGCUGACAUAUAUCAUUUGCCGUCCGGUGCUUCUUACAUAUAGCUUGGAGAAGAGGUUGAGACCUCGAUAUGAAGUUCUGAAUUUUCUUGAUCAGAAUAAAUUGCUGGAUAAAGGACAUGACCUGCUAUCUGUCAUCCUGCUAACUGAAGAGAAGUUCAGAAACAAAUUCCUUUUCCUGCUACGCGAGGAGAAAUUUAUUUCUGUGCAGGGAAAGCACGAUGUUGUUGCGGUAACCUAGGAUUGCAAGUGCUUCCUUAAGACAAAGUGUAA